RNAcentral lists this ribosomal RNA (267 nucleotides) under uncultured bacterium. RNAcentral describes it as "partial 16S ribosomal RNA". It matches the Rfam family "Bacterial small subunit ribosomal RNA", at positions 793 to 1055 of the family's 1533-position model. The record is from RNAcentral.
GUCCACGCCCUAAACGAUGUCAACUAGGUGUUGGGGAGGAGACUUCCUUAGUACCGCAGCUAACGCGUGAAGUUGACCGCCUGUGGAGUACUGCCGCAAGGUUGAAACUACAAAGGAAUUGACGGGGACCCCGCACAAGCGGUGGAUUAUGUGGAUUAAUUCGAUGCAACGCGAAAACCUUAACCUACCCUUGACAUGCCGAGAAUCCCGAAGAGAUUUGGGAGUGCCCGAAAGGGAACUUGGACACAGGUGCUGCAUGGCUGUCGU